AUGUCGACGUUCGCCGGCGUAUCCGUCCUCGACGGCGACAAGCCGUGCUCUUGCGUAACGUCGGACGUCGGCGCCAACAGCGUGUACCACCUGCUCGUGGUCAAGGGCUACUCUCGUAUCAAAAAGGAGUUGCCCAACGGCGAGAGCUGGUGCACUGAUUUGUUCAGGGUGGGAGGCCAUGAGUAUUCCAUCGAGUACUAUCCUAACGGCGCAAACCCCAACUGUGCCGACUUCAUUUCGCUCGAUAUUACCCGUCUCUACGACGAAGAUGUCGAAGAGGGUGUGGAGGCCAAGUUCAGUUUCAGUCUGGUCGAUGACGUCGAGAAGCAGAUGCUGACGUACAUUCGUGCGACUCGUAAAACCCGUGACUUCCGCAGAUGUGAUCCUUGUUGGGGCUGCGACAAGUUCAUGAGAAGAGAUGCCCUUGAGCGAUCAGCCAGUCUAAAGUUUGAUUGUUUCACCAUCAGGUGUGAUAUUGUGGUGUGCAAGGACAACACCCCAGAUGCCACUGGCUCAGGCACCGGCACCGAGGUUCUCAUGCCUGACAUACACCAACAUUUUAGCAACCUCCUUCAGAAUAAGGUGGGUGCUGAUGUGACAUUCGAGGUCGGCGGCGAGACAUUUGCUGCACACCGGUGUGUGCUCGCUGCCAGGUCUGAAGUGUUCAUGGCGCAGCUCUUUGGCACCGCGACGCCCAGCAUCAUACAGAUCACAGAUAUGGAAGCAAAAGUGUUCAGGGCUUUGCUUUGCUUCAUCUACACAGACUCGUGUCCUGAGAUGGAGAAGAACAGCAUGGAGGAGGAUGAAAUGCCAGGAGUUGUGGAACAAGGACAAGUAGAGGAAGUACUGGAGGAUAAAAUGUCAGAAGUUGAGGAACAAACACAAGAAGAGGCGGUAGAGGAUGAAAUUCUUCUGCAAUGGCUGCAGGACUUGUUUGUGGCGGCAGACAGAUACAAUCUCCAGCGGCUCAAGUUCAUCUGUGAAAAGCAGUUGUGUGAGCAUGUAGGUGUGAGCUCCGUGGCGUCCACUCUUGCUCUAGCCGAGCAGCACCACUGCCAUGGAUUGAAGGCGGCGUGCUUGAAGUUUAUCCAAGUCCUAUCUCCCUCGCGUUUGCAGACACUAAUGGCAACUGAUGGAUGGGGGCAUAUAGCAACGACAUACCCCUCUGUUUUGUACGAGCUCAUUGCCAUCCUUGCGUCAAACCAGCGGAAAUGA
This 1215-nucleotide ribosomal RNA is filed under the name Triticum aestivum (bread wheat). Its description in RNAcentral is "partial small subunit ribosomal RNA". Lineage: Eukaryota; Viridiplantae; Streptophyta; Magnoliopsida; Poales; Poaceae. The record is from RNAcentral.